GACAGAGGCCCCAAGCGUUAGGCGGAAUCACUGGGCUUAAAGCGUGUGUAGGCGGAUCGUUAAGUGUCUUGUGAAAUCCCACGGCUCACCCGUGGAACUGCUGGGCAUACUGGCGAUCUUGGGCCAACUAGGGGCAGUCGGAACAAGCGGUGGAGCGGUGAAAUGCGUAGAUAUCGCUUGGAACGCCGAAGGUGAAAACAGACUGCUGGGGUUGCGCCGACGCUGAGACACGAAAGCCAGGGGAGCAAAUGGG
RNAcentral lists this ribosomal RNA (253 nucleotides) under uncultured bacterium. Its description in RNAcentral is "partial 16S ribosomal RNA". It matches the Rfam family "Bacterial small subunit ribosomal RNA", at positions 524 to 776 of the family's 1533-position model. The record is from RNAcentral.